Non-coding RNA from Pelobates cultripes (western spadefoot toad), 364 nucleotides. Lineage: Eukaryota; Metazoa; Chordata; Amphibia; Anura; Pelobatidae. The record is from the annotation of a GenBank genome assembly.
UCAGAAUUCCCAUAAUCGGAUUAUUAUACGAACUGUGCACCGGACGUACAAUGCCCCUUUCCUUUAAAUUCUGAAUGAUGUCUUGUAGACCAUCAUAUGAAGCCAAUAGGAGUCUAUAUUGUUUGAUUAAUACAGUUGGUAAAUUUGGAUCCGUUUGUAUUCUGGCUACGUGGAGGUUAGUUAACCCACAGUCGUAGGAAUCUUUGGCAAAAAUAUCUUGGAAUUCCAUAAGGAUUUCCCUUAGCUGUUGCCACUCAGCAUCGUUGGAGCAACCGUCCGCUAAAGAUAUUUGCUCUUCAAGCCUCUUCUGAAACCCAGGAAAGAUUUCAGGCUGGUCCAUCUCAUGAGCUUCUUCAAGCCUAGA